GCAGCGAGUUACAGAGCCGUGCUGAAGAACUUCAUAGGUCCUCAAGAAAAGAUGCAAAGCACUAUAUAGAGUUUUGGAAACAAAUUCCUCCAAAUGAGCCCUACCGUGUUAUUCUUGGCGAUGUACGAGAUAAGCUAUACAAUACACGUGAACGUGCUCGUCAUUUAUUAGCCAGUGGAACAUCUGACAUUCCCCAAGAUACAACUUUCACCGAUGUUGAGCAGUUCCUGGAACCUCUAGAACUUUGCUACAGGUCACUUUGUGCUUGUGGCGAUAGGCCAAUUGCUGACGGGAGCCUUCUUGAUUUCUUACGACAAGUUUCUACAUUUGGACUU
This 335-nucleotide unclassified non-coding RNA is filed under the name Hevea brasiliensis (rubber tree). Lineage: Eukaryota; Viridiplantae; Streptophyta; Magnoliopsida; Malpighiales; Euphorbiaceae. The record is from RNAcentral.